AUGGGCACAAGGUUCCACACAACACAACACAACACAUACAUCAACAUAUUAACCAUGAAGCUUCUUCAUGGACUCGCUUUAGUUUUUCUAUUAGCUGCUGCGAGUUGCAAAGCUGAUGAAGAAAUUACUUGCGAAGAGAACAAUCCAUUCACAUGUAGUAACACUGAUAUUUUAAGCAGUAAAAACUUCGGAAAAGACUUCAUCUUCGGUGUUGCAUCUUCUGCUUACCAGAUCGAAGGAGGGAGAGGUCGUGGUGUUAACGUUUGGGAUGGCUUCAGUCACCGAUAUCCAGGUACGUCACAGUGUAUAUAUAUAUACACAUGAGAUGAACGUCGGUUUAUUAUGUACACGUAUUAAUGUAUUUGUAAUUACUAUCAGAGAAAUCAGGGUCACACAAACUCAUAGAUGCACUCCUCGAAAAGAAUAUAACGCCUUUCGUUACCCUCUUUCACUGGGAUCUUCCUCAAACACUCCAAGAUGAGUAUGAAGGUUUCUUGGACCGCCAGAUCAUACAAGAUUUCAAAGACUACGCGGAUCUAUGUUUCAAAGAAUUUGGUGGAAAGGUAAAGCAUUGGAUCACCAUCAACCAGCUAUACACAGUGCCUACAAGAGGCUAUGCUAUCGGAACAGAUGCACCCGGUCGAUGUUCUCCUAUGGUUGAUACCAAGCACAGGUGUUACGGUGGAAAUUCUUCAACAGAACCCUACAUCGUUGCACAUAACCAGCUUCUUGCUCAUGCCACGGUCGUCGAUCUUUACAGGACCAAAUACAAGUUCCAAAAAGGGAAGAUUGGACCUGUGAUGAUUACAAGAUGGUUUCUUCCAUUUGAUGAGUCUGAUCCUGCCUCCAUAGAAGCAGCUGAGAGGAUGAACCAAUUCUUCCAUGGAUGGUACAUGGAGCCGCUAACAAAGGGUAGAUACCCAGACAUCAUGAGGCAGAUUGUGGGUAGUAGGCUUCCCAACUUCACCGAGGAAGAAGCAGAACUCGUUGCUGGUUCAUAUGAUUUUCUUGGUCUCAACUAUUACGUCACUCAAUACGCCCAGCCAAAACCUAACCCAUAUCCUUCAGAGACACACACUGCCAUGAUGGACGCUGGCGUAAAGCUCACAUAUGAUAAUUCACGUGGUGAAUUUCUUGGUCCACUGUUUGUUGAAGACAAAGUAAGCGGCAACAGCUAUUACUACCCAAAAGGCAUUUAUUACGUUAUGGACUACUUCAAAACCAAAUACGGCGACCCUUUAAUCUAUGUCACCGAAAAUGGAUUUAGUACCCCCAGUUCAGAAAACCGUGAGCAAGCUAUUGCCGAUUACAAGCGAAUCGAUUAUCUAUGCAGCCAUCUAUGUUUUCUCCGCAAGGUCAUCAAGGAGAAGGGUGUCAACGUGAGAGGAUACUUUGCAUGGGCUCUUGGAGAUAAUUAUGAAUUCUGCAAAGGUUUCACCGUCAGAUUUGGACUCAGUUACGUUAAUUGGGAAGAUCUGGACGACAGAAACCUCAAAGAAUCUGGCAAAUGGUACCAGAGAUUCAUUAACGGGACUGUCAAGAAUUCUGCGAAACAAGAUUUCCUCCGCUCAAGCCUCUCUUCCCAGAGUCAGAAGAAGAGGCUCGCUGAUGCAUGAAACACUUUCCACCCUCAAGAUCAUCUCUAUAUCUCUCACUCUUCCUACUUACUCCAUAGAUAAGGAGCUUCUUCUAUCUACAAUGUACUAAAUAAACAAUCUCAAUAAAAAGAUGAUCAGUUAUUAAAUGAAUAAAAAUAAUUUAUCUACA
RNA transcript from Brassica oleracea var. oleracea, 1767 nucleotides. It is a transcript of the gene named myrosinase-like, with no coding region annotated. NCBI's taxonomy places the organism in Eukaryota, Viridiplantae, Streptophyta, Magnoliopsida, Brassicales, Brassicaceae. The record is from RefSeq and is a predicted model, not a curated record. The transcript has 9 exons.